AAAAAGGUAAGCUAAAUAAGCUUAUGGGUUCAUACCCCAUCUAUGAAAACUUUUCCCUUUUUA
RNAcentral lists this transfer RNA (63 nucleotides) under Chrysodinopsis sp. EMHAU-1507081. RNAcentral's name for it is "tRNA-Met". Lineage: Eukaryota; Metazoa; Arthropoda; Insecta; Coleoptera; Chrysomelidae. The record is from RNAcentral.